UGAGGAAUAUUCCACAAUGGGGGAAACCCUGAUGGAGCGAUGCCGCGUGCAGGAAGACGCUUUUCGGAGUGUAAACUGCUUUUAACAAGGAAGAUUAUGACGGUACUUGUAGAAUAAGGACCGGCUAACUACGUGCCAGCAGCCGCGGUAAUACGUAGGGUCCAAGCGUUAUUCGGAAUUACUGGGCGUAAAGCGUUCGUAGGCGGUUUGGUAAGUUGGAUGUGAAAUCCUGUGGCUCAACCACAUGGACUGUGUCCAAAACUACCUGACUAGAGCAUAGUAGAGGCAAGUGGAAUUUGCGGUGUAGGAGUGACAUCCGUAGAUAUCGCAAGGAACACCAAUGGCGAAGGCAGCUUGCUGGGCUAUUGCUGACGCUCAGGAACGAAAGCGUGGGGAGCGA
Molecule: ribosomal RNA, 400 nt
Filed under: uncultured bacterium
Lineage: Bacteria
Description: bacterial SSU rRNA
Rfam family: Bacterial small subunit ribosomal RNA
Source: RNAcentral